AAUCAGUCGAACCACAUAACUCUAAAAUGGCGAAGCCACAAGGAAAGUCUUUUUGUGUGCUGCAGUUUGAGAAAUGCGAAUCGAUUGUGCAAGUGCAACGUGAUUUUCGCCACCAAUUCAAUAAAAAUCCACCUCGUCACAAACAAAUUUACG
Molecule: long non-coding RNA, 153 nt
Organism: Octopus sinensis (East Asian common octopus)
Lineage: Eukaryota; Metazoa; Mollusca; Cephalopoda; Octopoda; Octopodidae
Exons: 4
Source: RefSeq, a predicted model, not a curated record